Molecule: ribosomal RNA, 730 nt
Filed under: uncultured bacterium
Lineage: Bacteria
Description: bacterial SSU rRNA
Rfam family: Bacterial small subunit ribosomal RNA
Source: RNAcentral
AACAGGAUUAGAUACCCUGGUAGUCCACGCCGUAAACGAUGUCGACUUGGAGGUUGUGCCCCUGAGGCGUGGCUUCCGGAGCUAACGCGUUAAGUCGACCGCCUGGGGAGUACGGCCGCAAGGUUAAAACUCAAAUGAAUUGACGGGGGCCCGCACAAGCGGUGGAGCAUGUGGUUUAAUUCGAUGCAACGCGAAGGACCUUACCUACUCUUGACAUCCAGAGAACUUAGCAGAGAUGCUUUGGUGCCUUCGGGAACUCUGAGACAGGUGCUGCAUGGCUGUCGUCAGCUCGUGUUGUGAAAUGUUGGGUUAAGUCCCGCAACGAGCGCAACCCUUAUCCUUUGUUGCCAGCGGUUCGGCCGGGAACUCAAAGGAGACUGCCAGUGAUAAACUGGAGGAAGGUGGGGAUGACGUCAAGUCAUCAUGGCCCUUACGAGUAGGGCUACACACGUGCUACAAUGGCAUAUACAAAGAGAAGCGACCUCGCGAGAGCAAGCGGACCUCAUAAAGUAUGUCGUAGUCCGGAUUGGAGUCUGCAACUCGACUCCAUGAAGUCGGAAUCGCUAGUAAUCGUGGAUCAGAAUGCCACGGUGAAUACGUUCCCGGGCCUUGUACACACCGCCCGUCACACCAUGGGAGUGGGUUGCAAAAGAAGUAGGUAGCUUAGCCUUCGGGAGGGCGCUUACCACUUUGUGAUUCAUGACUGGGGUGAAGUCGUAACAAGGUAACC